AGUUUUCCAGUUUCGGCCGCAUCCUGCUCUUCUUCACAGUCACGAGCAGGGGUCCAGGGGCUUUUGAAUUCGACACCCGUACGAAAUCGAGCAGCCGAUCACCUUCAUUGUUUAUCCCGCUGACUGGCUUCGCCGACUUCCAAAUUUUCUUCUCUCUUUUCGUGCCUGUAAUAGGAACGCAAAAGGAAAGUAAUCCCUCUUCUCGCCUUUGGCAGUUUCUGCUUCAUCGAAUAUGUCCACAGAGCAGGCUCGCACUUUGCUCUACCUGGCGCUGAACGCUUUCAGCAGCAUCGGCAUCGUGUACACGAACAAAGUCAUCUUUACGCGGCACGGCUUCAGCUAUGGCACCCUCCUCACGGUGAUUCACUUCUUCAUCACGACCCUCGGGCUGUUCAUUUGCCGCAUGAUGGGUGUCUUCGAGCCGAAACGCAUACCCGUACUCAAGAUCCUACCCCUCUGCGUGGGCUUCUGCGGUUUUGUAGCGCUGAACAACGUGUCGCUGGUCUACAACACCAUUGGCUUUUAUCAGCUUAUCAAAGUGCUGACGACGCCCAUGCUGGUUGUCAUUCAGACCUUAUUCUAUCAAAAGACGUUUUCCGCGAAAGUGAAGCUCUCCUUGACGGUCACUUGCAUCGGCGUGGGUCUCUCCACGGUGAACGAUACCUCGGCCAACUUGGCGGGUACGGUGGUAGCCCUCUCGGCACUUCUUAUUACGUGUAUGUAUCAAAUUUGGGUGGGGACGAAGCAGAGUGAGUUUCACUGCGACAGCUUUCAGCUUCUCUAUAAUCAGGCACCCAUUUCGUGCGCCAUGCUGAUGCCGAUGGCCUACUUCGCCGACGAUCUUGCAAACAAGUACUACACGCCAUGCUGGCCCACUAUCAUAGUGAUCAUCUUCUCGGGCCUCCUGGCGUUUUUUGUGAACAUCUCCAUUUUCUUGGUGAUAGGCAAGACCUCCCCUGUGACGUACAACGUGCUGGGCCACUUCAAGCUAUGCGUCAUUCUCUCUCUCGGGUUUCUGUGGUUCGGCGACCAGAUGAAUGCACGUAUCUUCCUCGGCAUUGUAAUUACUCUAUUCGGAGUGUUCUGGUACACACAUCUAAAGAUGCAAGAAGGGGAGAAAGAGGAGGAUGCCAAGAUCCUGGCCAAGCACGAGGAAGAGCACGUCAGUGUCGGUGAAGGGGAUGAAAAGUACGUGUAGUAAUACAUCGUUUUUUUUGUUCCUUUCCAUUGCAUGCUUCUCCCUGAUAACGGGGAGGGGGCAUCCCAGUGCGUGGUAUCUCAGGGCCCAGUGCAUUCACAUUAUUCCACAGGGGGGGUGGCCGAGCAGCCCCCUCCCGCUAUCCCCUUUCCUGCCAGCUGCAGAGCCGCUUCUGCUGGUGACAGGGCCAUCCCCCCUACGACGUAGGGGGGGGUCAGAGCGAUGCAUCGCUGUUGAUGUCGGCGGUCGAGGCCCUGGAUGGCGUUGCAUCGGAGCCACCUGCGACAGCGAACGCGUCUGUGCCAUCCGCCUGAUGGGCGAAGUGUCGGCGUGACUCGAGCGCAUAUCAGACGGUCCUCGCUGCCUACUGGUGUGGGGAGCGUGAGCCACCCCGAGGGUCGCACGAGGUGGUGACCGGCACCAUGGGCAUGGCUGUGAGGCGACCUGCGAGGAGGCUGGGGGGGGGAGGAGCUCGAGGCAGGGGCCGAGCUCAGAUGACUGGGUCGGCGCAUUGCUGUAGCGCGCGCCUGCGGCUUCUUCGCACCACGUGGGUGGGGCCUGCGACUGGCCGGUGUAGAGGGGAGUGCUGCUCGUGCUUCUUGCCAGUUAAGGGAGAUGUUGCCGAAAAGAAUCUGCCGAACUCGUCCGCAUCUCUCUUCUCGAAGUCGUGAGCUCGCUCGCCCGUCAAAGCCGUUUUGUGCGUGCAAGUCUGGGCACGUGGCCUUGUGCGUGCUGCUCGGCAGUGAUAGCGAUGACUUUCUCAGGGAUGGGGACGGAGAGGACGAACGGAAGAAACGUGGCAGUUGGAGGCCACAAGAGCCGUUCGUGUCUUUCUUUUCGGCUCGUUUUCUCUUCUGCUUUAUGCACCGCACCGUAGAAAGAGUGCCGACUCCUCAAACAUGUGCGCGGCAGUACCUAACGGAUCCUGCGAGUUGGCAGGAGUAAGCAAAGCAGAAUGAGUUUCUUUCGCGAGCGCUUGUACGUCCCCUUCACUUCGGUGGACACCCUCUCCUCCCCCUCCCCCCUUUUCCGUCUUCGCUUUCCUGCGCGCCGAAACGAAAGAAAAGGGCAAAACCUUUUUUCUUUUCUAGGAAAAGUGCGUGCUUCCCGCCAGUGCUACCACGAUGUAUCUCUCUCUUUAUAACUUUUUUCCCACGGACAACAGACGUGUGCGACACGGUAAGGGCAGGUUCCUCUUUUGUUCUUUUGUUUUGUCGUCGUCCUUUGUGAAGAACUUGUCGCGCUGCAUCAAAAGGACACCUGCGGGUAUCGCACGCAUACCACGGGGAUACAACUCCUGUACUCAUUGAGACACGUUUUCGCCUCCACAUGGUCCCCUGCGCACCUCUUGUUUGCCGCUAAUAUUCACAGCUCUGACGCAAGUUUGCCUUUCCUUCUUUUUGUAAGCGCACUAUUCUUUUCAUCAUUCACAAAGAAGGGAGCUGCGCGAAGUUCCCUUACUCGCUGGUGGCGGAUAGUGCGGCAUUCAGGCAGGCACCCGGUCAGAAGCCGCCGCGAUGCUCUACUGCCACCAUGCACUCGUAGGCACCGCGGCAACAGGCUGCGGCCGCCUUGCUUGCAGCUGUCGCACGGAGUGUGAGGGAGUGGAGCUGGGGCUCGACCUGCUGCGGACACAGCACCAGCGCCGAAGACACAGGCAAUCGAGCGUGGCUGCGGCUGCGCACUCGCUCUCCCUCCUCACGACGCUCCGCACCGGCCUGACAGCGGUGGAGGAUGGCACAUCGCGACGCAUUGGCGGGGGGGGCACAGGUGCCGGCGCUGCUGGCCUGUCGCGUUCGCCCCUCACUCCAGCCCGUCUCUGGCCCUUGGGAGCUGGUGCACAACGACGUGGCGGGCACGCUUGCAAAGCCAGCCAUGCCAGGGGCGCCGACGCCGACUGCAUGGAUUGCGGACCCGGCCACCGGUCUCACACGCCAGGCCGACAGCCCCCGCUACGGCACUACACGAUGCGACACGCGCUCCUUGCCGGCGUCUGUCCCGCACCGAAGCGCAGGCAGGCGGUGCAGCAGGCGGCACCGCCACCCCUCCCCUGCCUGUGUUCGCUGUGAGGGCGGCAUACCAGGCGCUGUGCCCGGUAUGCUACGCGAGAUUCGCGGGUUGCUCGAAGCCCGAAGCGUAGCGCGCUUCGCGCUGUGGUCUUGCGCGCAGUGAUGCGGCUACGCGCACAUCUGCCUCGCGCUGCAUGCGCUUCCCCUGUCGCGUGUCUAUGGCUGCCCCCCCCCUCCCCCCUGUGUGCCCCUUCACAACGGCAAGCCGUGAGCUCGCUGUGCGCAGACACACGCUUACGCGCGGGUUCAGGAGAGGGUGGAAUGCCCCCGCCGCCACAGACGCACAGCAGCGAGCCGCACGGACAGCAACGCCGUCCGGAAACAGGCCCCAGGGCCCGAAAAUGCGAGCGCUGUGUGCAGCUGCGGUCAAGCACAGCACGCAUAGACGGUGUAUGACAUCCAAGAAGGCAUGCAGAGGUCAGAGGAGCACGAGUGAUGGACGGGAAAGGCGCGAAGAGACGCACACCGGUCAGCGCCACAGUGCAUGUGCGCGGCAUAUGCCGCAUCUCCUACAUCCGGCCGGGUGGGCUGAUGCGGCACGGACGCCGGCAGCAUGACGGGGGACACCCCGAGUUGCACCACCGACCCCACCAGGCCCCCAUGCGGAGAGUCUCCACACCACGUUACGGCGCGCAGCGGCCUGAGGCGAGUCAGGGCGAUGCACGGCACACAGGCCGGGUGCAGGGCCUCAGGGGGCCCUGGCCUGACUCUGGCCAACUUGCGGCUGGAGCUCAUCCGGCAUGCACCUGCAGUGCCCCUCCCCCUACCACCCGCACCACAGACGCCGCCGCCUCCGCCCUCGAGCAGGGCCGUGGACGCGGGCCGCUUCGGAUCGAUGGACGCCGUCCAGCCAAGCGCGUUCGCGCCGAUCGCGCAGCGCGCAUGCGUAGAAGGGACGAGGAAGGACGAGGGGAGCCCGCCAGACGCGUGCCCCCGACUCGACGGCAGAGCGGCUCGUCCUCGCGGACAGGAGCCUCGCCGUGGUGCAGCAGAGGCGGGUCAAGUGGUGUUGUUGUGUGCGUAUGCGUUUGCUGGCUUGCUUCUGGUAGAAUGGACACGCUGACAAAGGGCAUAAGAGAUCGGGGAGGAAUAAAAUUUUGUUUUCUGCUGAAGGCGGACUUCUUUUUCAGGUGACCGACGGCGGGCACAAGUACCUCAGGCAGCCGAUGCAGGGUGUGCUUGGAGGACGGCAGGAGAAGGAUGUCGUUGGACCAACCAAAGAACCGCAUUCUUUGUGCUGCUUCCUUUUCGUGUGUUUGUGCUGCUUGUUGGCCCCUGUGCUCUUGCGUGGACGGGGUGUGCUUUUGGGUACGGUUGGGGCCGAAUAGGGGAGAGUGAGGCAGCGGUUAUGAAGGCGAGAUCAGGCGGGAUGCAAGGGCUCAAUGAGGGGAGUGUGUGCGUGGGCUGUUUUGCUUCUCGGUUUCAUUGUUUUGUGCUCAAGUCCGACGCGACGCGGCUUCUUUCUCUGAGACCGUUGAAAGCGGAGGAAUAACGCUUCACUCAUUCGCAAAAGGCGCCAAGGCUCUUGCCCCACCUUUUUCUCUGCAUUUGUGCGACCGAUGGUCUCAACAAGAACGACAUGGCUUGUGACGGCUUUCGAUAGAUUGGUGAAGUACUCCAUGUUCUUGACGGCGAACGACAACACGUGUGUUUGUGUCGCUUGUGUCGCCUGCGGUUUUUCCUCUGGUAGAGCUGCCGCCUUGUUUUUCUCUCCUCACCAUGGAUACGAAACGAAGUGCUUCGUUGUUUUCUGUAAAGUCCUUUCACCGUUUUGUGUGGCUGUCUGCUUGUUGUUUGCUCGCGAGCACGCUUG
This 5080-nucleotide unclassified non-coding RNA is filed under the name Leishmania donovani. Its description in RNAcentral is "gene:LdHU3.19.1870(CDS-product:Triose-phosphate_T ransporter_family_putative)". Lineage: Eukaryota; Euglenozoa; Kinetoplastea; Trypanosomatida; Trypanosomatidae. The record is from RNAcentral.